CCUACGGGUGGCUGCAGUGGGGAAUAUUGGACAAUGGGCUAAAGCCUGAUCCAGCCAUGCCGCGUGUGUGAAGAAGGCCUUCGGGUUGUAAAGCACUUUCAGUGGGGAAGAAAGCCUUGGGGCUAAUACCCUCGAGGAAGGACAUCACCCACAGAAGAAGCACCGGCUAACUCCGUGCCAGCAGCCGCGGUAAUACGGAGGGUGCGAGCGUUAAUCGGAAUUACUGGGCGUAAAGCGCGCGUAGGCGGUCUGAUAAGCCGGUUGUGAAAGCCCCGGGCUCAACCUGGGAACGGCAUCCGGAACUGGCAGGCUAGAGUGCAGGAGAGGAAGGUAGAAUUCCCGGUGUAGCGGUGAAAUGCGUAGAGAUCGGGAGGAAUACCAGUGGCGAAGGCGGCCUUCUGGACUGACACUGACGCUGAGGUGCGAAAGCGUGGGUAGCAAACAGGAUUAGAUACCCUAAGUAGUC
RNAcentral lists this ribosomal RNA (466 nucleotides) under Vreelandella stevensii. Its description in RNAcentral is "partial 16S ribosomal RNA". It matches the Rfam family "Bacterial small subunit ribosomal RNA", at positions 338 to 795 of the family's 1533-position model. The record is from RNAcentral. Lineage: Bacteria; Pseudomonadati; Pseudomonadota; Gammaproteobacteria; Oceanospirillales; Halomonadaceae.